AAAAAGUCACUGCCUUACAGGGCAACAAAUCAGCAGCUUAAGCUUUCGUACGCAGCCAAAACCCAAAACUAUGCCUUUCUAACGGUUCUCGGUGAAACAGGAUGACGUCUCCUGUUGUCUCUCGUGUGCAUUUUAAACCAGGAAUGUAAACAAGCCGAUUAAAGUCUGCAAAGUUCUCACGAUUCCAAUCAUACCUUAAACUUCCCCAUUUCCAUAGCUGGCAUACCGGAGUCUGUCAACCAAACCCAACCGACCUACAACAGAGAGAGUAAAAGCAGUCUCACUGAAAAUACUGCACCACACCUGCUCUUAGGGCCCUUAAAAUAACAGCAACACCCCUCACAGUUUCUAUAAAUAGAAAAAAACCCAAAGCUUCCGACUUUAGGCGGUUAAACCUGCUCAAAACAAACAAUAAAAUCCAAGAAGACGCAAUAUAUAUGUCAAAGCACUCUUUAUAGUGGCUCUUUUUAUGUUUGUGAUGCAACACAGGUAAAUUAACUCUCGUCACUUUGCUUCGCCGACGCAUGAUGAGAAUUGUCGCAUUCACAAAUGUGGACAAACAGCAAUCUCGACAUUUCUAGCUCGGGCCGUAUCCGCCCACUGCACUUAUGAGCCUCAGGAGAGGAAGACACAGAGACUCAUCUGCGCUGGAUUUCACCUGGAAGGUGACUGCUCCUAUAUUUCUGUAAGAGAAGAUCCGUUCAGUAUUUCCCAUCAUGGCAGAACACGGUGACCCUUGCACUGGAUCAGAGGCCAACUUUUGCAUGAAUGGAGGAACCUGCUUUAAAAUACCUUCAGUGUCGACACCCACCUGUGUGUAAGUGUUACAUCAGCCUAAACCUAUUCAAAGAAUGUCUUGCUAACAUUCCAGAUAAAGUUACGUUGAAAUGUCCUUAUUAUUAGUUA
Non-coding RNA from Danio rerio (zebrafish), 906 nucleotides. The record is from RefSeq and is a predicted model, not a curated record. Lineage: Eukaryota; Metazoa; Chordata; Actinopteri; Cypriniformes; Danionidae.